GCCGGAGUAGCUCAGUUGGUAGAGCAACUGACUUUGUAAUCAGUAGGUCGAGGGUUCGACUCCUUUCUCCGGCACCA
This 77-nucleotide transfer RNA is filed under the name Planococcus faecalis. RNAcentral's name for it is "tRNA-OTHER". It matches the Rfam family "tRNA". From Rfam's summary of the family: Transfer RNA (tRNA) molecules are approximately 80 nucleotides in length. Their secondary structure includes four short double-helical elements and three loops (D, anti-codon, and T loops). The record is from RNAcentral. Lineage: Bacteria; Bacillati; Bacillota; Bacilli; Caryophanales; Caryophanaceae.